RNAcentral lists this ribosomal RNA (406 nucleotides) under uncultured bacterium. RNAcentral's name for it is "partial 16S ribosomal RNA". It matches the Rfam family "Bacterial small subunit ribosomal RNA", at positions 30 to 526 of the family's 1533-position model. The record is from RNAcentral.
AUUGAACGCUGGCGGCAGGCCUAACACAUGCAAGUCGAACGAGUGGCGGACGGGUGAGUAAUGUCUGGGAAACUGCCUGAUGGCGGGGGAUAACUACUGGAAACGGUAGCUAAUACCGCAUACCAUCGGAUGUGCCCAGAUGGGAUUCGCUAGUGGGUGGGGUAACGGCUCUCCUUGGCGAUGCUCCCUAGCUGGUCUGAGAGGAUGACCACCCACACUGGAACUGAGACACGGUCCAUACGCCUACGGGAGGCAGAAGUGGGGAAUAUUGCACAAUGGUCGCAGGCCUGAUGCAGCCAUGCCGCGUGUGUGAAGAAGGCCUUCGGGUUGUAAAGCACAUUCAGCGGGGAGGCGUUACCCGCAGAAGAAGCACCGGCUAACUCCGUGCCAGCAGCCGCGGUAAUUC